RNAcentral lists this ribosomal RNA (606 nucleotides) under Triticum aestivum (bread wheat). RNAcentral describes it as "partial small subunit ribosomal RNA". The record is from RNAcentral. Lineage: Eukaryota; Viridiplantae; Streptophyta; Magnoliopsida; Poales; Poaceae.
AUGAAAUUUGCUCUUAAGGUCAAUUGUUCCCUCUUGAACACACCCGCAAAAAGAGUAAAAGUUGCUGGAGGAGGAUCAUUGAAUUCUGGAGCAAUUGCACCAAAUGCAAGUUUCGGAAUAGGGAAUGAAACAUUUUCCAAUGACCUAACAGUGCUUGAUAUGCAAGGGUAUGAUGUAGUCCUGGGUUGUGAUAUGCUCAAAAAGCACAGCCCCAUAUCUCUGGAUUUUGAAGCAAGAACUGUCACUCUCAAUAAGGACAAAACCAAGCUGGUCACAUUUGUAGACUGCACUGCUAGUGAACCUCCUAAACUGAUAUCUGCUGAAAAGCUGGACAAGUUGUGUUCUCAAGGGGCUGUGGGUUUCACUAUGAGUUUGCAUUAUAUGACACACAUCCAAACUCCCCUGGAACAGGUAGCACAGGAACCUCUUAAACCUGCAGCUGAAGUUUUACCAGUUUUAAACAACUACAAGGAGCUGUUUAAUGAACCAACUGAACUGCCACCCUCCAUAGAAUGUGAUCACACUAUUCCCCUCAAAGAAAAUUCCACUCCUCCUAAUGUCAGACCAUACAGAGUUCCUCAUUUGCAGAAAAAUGAAAUGGAAUAG